GGCCUUUUGAGUAUGAUUUAAGGUCUAACCUGCCCAAUGAGUUUUUAAAUGGCCGCGGUAUUUUGACCGUGCAAAGGUAGCAUAAUCAUUAGUUUUUUAAUUAAAAGCUGGAAUGAAAGGUUGAAUGAAAAAAUAACUGUCUCUAUUUAAAUUUAUUAGAAUUUUAUUUUUAAGUAAAAAAGCUUAAAUUUCGUUAGAAGACGAGAAGACCCUAUAGAGUUUUAUUAAUGGUUUUUAUAAAAUUUUAGUAUUUAAGUUUUUGUAAUUAAAAUUAAUUUAGUUGGGGUGAUUAAAAAAUUUGAUAAACUUUUUUUUAAUUUAAACAUUUAUUUAUGAAUAUUUGAUCCUUUUUUUAAAGAUUAAAAGAUACAAUUACCUUAGGGAUAACAGCGUAAUUUUCCUAGAGAGUUCAAAUCGAAAGGAAAGAUUGCGACCUCGAUGUUGGAUUAAAAUAAAAUUUUGGUGUAGAAGCUAAAGUAUUUGGGUCUGUUCGACCUUUAAAAUUUUACAUGAUCUGAGUUUAAACCGGCGUGAGCCAGGUUGGUUUCUAUCUCUAUUAAUUGAAAAUGCCUUAGUACGAAAGGACCAGGCAUUUAAUUUAAAAUUUUAUUAUAGAACAAUAUU
This 624-nucleotide ribosomal RNA is filed under the name Cylydrorhinus sp. CYM1. Its description in RNAcentral is "partial 16S ribosomal RNA". It matches the Rfam family "Bacterial large subunit ribosomal RNA", at positions 1819 to 2757 of the family's 2925-position model. The record is from RNAcentral. Lineage: Eukaryota; Metazoa; Arthropoda; Insecta; Coleoptera; Curculionidae.